Molecule: non-coding RNA, 8448 nt
Organism: Xyrichtys novacula (pearly razorfish)
Lineage: Eukaryota; Metazoa; Chordata; Actinopteri; Labriformes; Labridae
Source: the annotation of a GenBank genome assembly
GAGAGAAUUGCCCACUGUGAAUCCCCAAAAAACUGGGCAUACGCAUCUGGGACCCGAUUAGUUCUGCUGUAUCACCUCACAUCCAACAACAACAACAACAACACAAAAAAACAUGUUAAUCAGGCAAAUAACAAGCACAGAUCAUUUGUAGACUCAUCUUCUCGAGUCUCAGAGCUAACACCAUAGACUGGAUAUACUAUGGACAACUUCGUUUUGCCUUCUGCCAGUAUACGGAUUUAAAGCCGAAAAACUCUUGGUAGUUUUGCAAUUUUUCUCCAUUUCCUGAUACCAACAUUGCGCAGUAGUGUUGUACGCAUUCAGCGGGAGAGUUACUGUGAUGACUCUUGGCUAAAACAGCUUAUCCCUCGGGUGAGCUAUGCAAUCUUCGUACGCCCAUAGACUGUAUUAAGUGUCAAUCAUAGAAAACAUGAACCCCCUAAUAACUUUUAAAAAUGGAGCUGCACAGAAAAAAAGAGGACAGACCAGUCUUACUGUAACAACAUGUCAACACCGCAAGCAGGGGGGAGAAAAAUUUACAUUCUGUGUAAUAAAUUUCUAAAGUUUGUCCACAGCUCCAUAUGGGUGCUGGAAGAAGCGGGAUUUAUGACCUAUACUGCAACCUGUCACCAGAGGGUGCUGUCCUUGCAGUGUCUCCACCCAGUGAGGAGGCAGACAGAUAGCAUCAGUGUUUCCCCUUGAAUUGUGUGUGUGUGUGUGUGUGUGUGUGUGUGUGUGUGUGUGUGUGUGUGUGUGUGUGUGUGUGUGAGUGGGGUGGGGUGGGGGGGGUCAUUGUAACCCCCACUGUCUUGCCGCUCCAGGAGCUACGCCGUUUCAUUCUCAUUACGUUACACAUGCUACUCGCUAUACAGACCAUGUAUAAGCUUAAAUGUUACCCUUCACAUUAGUGAAAGAGGGUCUGACAGGAUUUGAUGCACUCGUUGAUGACUCAAAACAAGUAAGAAAUAACGUUGUGUGUUAUUGUGUUCACACAGAGUGAGUUAGGGUUGGAGCUAGGGUUAGGGUUAGGGUUAGGGUUGGAGUUAGGGUUAGUGUUGGAGCUAGGGUUAGGGUUGGGCUUGGAGCUAGGAUUUUUCUGAGUGCAAUGAACCAACUCCCGAAUCUCUAGGACGUUCCUAAAAAAAUUUGAUUUUUUCCCAUAGGAAUGCAUGGGUUAGGGUUAGGGUUAGGGUUGGAGCUAGGGUUAGGGUUAGGGUUAGGGUUGGAGUUAGGGUUAGUGUUGGAGCUAGGGUUAGGGUUGGGCUUGGAGCUAGGAUUUUUCUGAGUGCAAUGAACCAACUACCGAGUCUCUAGGACGUUCCUAAAAAAAUUUGAUUUUUUCCCAUCGGAAUGCAUGGGUUAGGGUUAGGUGUGGGGUUGGAGCUAGGGUUAGGGUUAGGGUUAGGGUUGGAGUUAGGGUUAGUGUUGGAGCUAGGGUUAGGGUUGGGCUUGGAGCUAGGAUUUUUCUGAGUGCAAUGAACCAGCUCCUGAGUCUCUAGGACGUUCCUAAAAAAAUUUGAUUUUUUCCCAUAGGAAUGCAUGGGUUAGGGUUAGGGUUAGGGUUGGAGCUAGGGUUAGGGUUAGGGUUAGGGUUGGAGUUAGGGUUAGUGUUGGAGCUAGGGUUAGGGUUGGGCUUGGAGCUAGGAUUUUUCUGAGUGCAAUGAACCAACUCCCGAGUCUCUAGGACGUUCCUAAAAAAAUUUGAUUUUUUCCCAUAGGAAUGCAUGGGUUAGGGUUAGGGUUAGGGUUGGAGCUCGGGUUAGGGUUAGGGUUAGGGUUGGAGUUAGGGUUAGUGUUGGAGCUAGGGUUAGGGUUAGUGUUGGAGCUAGGAUUUUUCUGAGUGCAAUGAACCAACUCCCGAGUCUCUAGGACGUUCCUAAAAAAAUUUGAUUUUCUUCCAUAGGAAUGCAUGGGUUAGGGUUAGGGUUAGGGUUGGAGCUAGGGUUAGGGUUAGGGUUAGGGUUGGAAUUAGGGUUAGUGUUGGAGCUAGGGUUAGGGUUGGGCUUGGAGCUAGGAUUUUUCUGAGUGCAAUGAACCAACUCCCGAAUCUCUAGGACGUUCCUAAAAAAAAUUGAUUUUUUCCCAUAGGAAUGCAUGGGUUAGGGUUAGGGUUAGGGUUGGAGCUAGGGUUAGGGUUAGGGUUAGGGUUGGAGUUAGGGUUAGUGUUGGAGCUAGGGUUAGGGUUGGGCUUGGAGCUAGGAUUUUUCUGAGUGCAAUGAACCAACUCCCGAGUCUCUAGGACGUUCCUAAAAAAAUUUGAUUUUUUUCCAUAGAAAUGCAUGGGUUAGGGUUAGGGUUAGGGUUGGAGCUAGGGUUAGGGUUAGGGUUAGGGUUGGAGUUAGGGUUAGUGUUGGAGCUAGGGUUAGGGUUGGGCUUGGAGCUAGGAUUUUUCUGAGUGCAAUGAACCAACUCCCGAGUCUCUAGGACGUUCCUAAAAAAAUUUGAUUUUUUUCCAUAGGAAUGCAUGGGUUAGGGUUAGGGUUAGGGUUGGAGCUAGGGUUAGGGUUAGGGUUAGGGUUGGAAUUAGGGUUAGUGUUGGAGCUAGGGUUAGGGUUGGGCUUGGAGCUAGGAUUUUUCUGAGUGCAAUGAACCAACUCCCGAGUCUCUAGGACGUUCCUAAAAAAUUUUUAUUUUUUCCCAUAGGAAUGCAUGGGUUAGGGUUAGGGUUAGGGUUGGAGCUAGGGUUAGGGUUAGGGUUAGGGUUGGAGUUAGGGUUAGUGUUGGAGCUAGGGUUAGGGUUGGGCUUGGAGCUAGGAUUUUUCUGAGUGCAAUGAACCAACUACCGAGUCUCUAGGACGUUCCUAAAAAAAUUUGAUUUUUUCCCAUAGGAAUGCAUGGGUUAGGGUUAGGGUUAGGGUUGGAGCUAGGGUUAGGGUUAGGGUUAGGGUUAGGGUUAGGGUUGGAGUUAGGGUAAGUGUUGGAGCUAGGGUUAGGGUUGGGCUUGGAGCUAGGAUUUUUCUGAGUGCAAUGAACCAACUCCCGAAUCUCUAGGACGUUCCUAAAAAAAUUUGAUUUUUUCCCAUAGGAAUGCAUGGGUUAGGGUUAGGGUUAGGGUUAGGGUUGGAGCUAGGGUUAGGGUUAGGGUUAGGGUUGGAGUUAGGGUUAGUGUUGGAGCUAGGGUUAGGGUUGGGCUUGGAGCUAGGAUUUUUCUGAGUGCAAUGAACCAACUCCCGAGUCUCUAGGACGUUCCUAAAAAAAUUUUAUUUUUUCCCAUAGGAAUGCAUGGGUUAGGGUUAGGGUUAGGGUUGGAGCUAGGGUUAGGGUUAGGGUUAGGGUUGGAGUUAGGGUUAGUGUUGGAGCUAGGGUUAGGGUUGGGCUUGGAGCUAGGAUUUUUCUGAGUGCAAUGAACCAACUACCGAGUCUCUAGGACGUUCCUAAAAAAAUUUGAUUUUUUCCCAUAGGAAUGCAUGGGUUAGGGUUAGGGUUAGGGUUGGAGCUGCUAGGGUUAGGGUUAGGGUUAGGGUUGGAGUUAGGGUUAGUGUUGGAGCUAGGGUUAGGGUUGGGCUUGGAGCUAGGAUUUUUCUGAGUGCAAUGAACCAACUCCCGAGUCUCUAGGACGUUCCUAAAAAAAUUUGAUUUUUUCCCAUAGGAAUGCAUGGGUUAGGGUUAGGGUUAGGGGUGGGGUUGGAGCUAGGGUUAGGGUUAGGGUUAGGGUUGGAGUUAGGGUUAGUGUUGGAGCUAGGGUUAGGGUUGGGCUUGGAGCUAGGAUUUUUCUGAGUGCAAUGAACUAACUCCCGAGUCUCUAGGACGUUCCUAAAAAAAUUUGAUUUUUUUCCAUAGGAAUGCAUGGGUUAGGGUUAGGGUUAGGGUUGGAGCUAGGGUUAGGGUUAGGGUUGGAGUUAGGGUUAGUGUUGGAGCUAGGGUUAGGGUUGGGCUUGGAGCUAGGAUUUUUCUGAGUGCAAUGAACCAACUCCCGAGUCUCUAGGACAUUCCUAAAAAAAUUUGAUUUUCUUCCAUAGGAAUGCAUGGGUUAGGGUUAGGGUUAGGGUUGGAGCUAGGGUUAGGGUUAGGGUUAGGGUUGGAGUUAGGGUAAGUGUUGGAGCUAGGGUUAGGGUUGGGCUUGGAGCUAGGAUUUUUCUGAGUGCAAUGAACCAACUCCCGAGUCUCUAGGACGUUCCUAAAAAAAUUUGAUUUUUUUCCAUAGGAAUGCAUGGGUUAGGGUUAGGGUUAGGGAUGGAGCUAGGGUUAGGGUUAGGGUUAGGGUUGGAGUUAGGGUUAGUGUUGGAGCUAGGGUUAGGGUUGGGCUUGGAGCUAGGAUUUUUCUGAGUGCAAUGAACCAACUCCCGAGUCUCUAGGACGUUCCUAAAAAAAUUUGAUUUUUUUCCAUAGGAAUGCAUGGGUUAGGGUUAGGGUUAGGGUUGGAGCUAGGGUUAGGGUUAGGGUUAGGGUUGGAGUUAGGGUUAGUGUUGGAGCUAGGGUUAGGGUUGGGCUUGGAGCUAGGAUUUUUCUGAGUGCACUGAACCAACUCCCGAGUCUCUAGGACGUUCCUAAAAAAAUUUGAUUUUUUCCCAUAGGAAUGCAUGGGUUAGGGUUAGGGUUAGGGUUGGAGCUAGGGUUAGGGUUAGGGUUAGGGUUGGAGUUAGGGUUAGUGUUGGAGCUAGGGUUAGGGUUGGGCUUGGAGCUAGGAUUUUUCUGAGUGCAAUGAACCAACUCUCGAGUCUCUAGGACGUUCCUUAAAAAAAAUUGAUUUUUUUCCAUAGGAAUGCAUGGGUUAGGGUUAGGGUUAGGGUUGGAGCUAGGGUUAGGGUUAGGGUUGGAGUUAGGGUUAGUGUUGGAGCUAGGGUUCGGGUUGGGCUUGGAGCUAGGAUUUUUCUGAGUGCAAUGAACCAACUCCCGAGUCUCUAGGACGUUCCUAAAAAAAUUUGAUUUUUUCCCAUAGGAAUGCAUGGGUUAGGGUUAGGGUUAGGGUUGGAGCUAGGGUUAGGGUUAGGGUUAGGGUUGGAGUUAGGGUUAGUGUUGGAGCUAGGGUUAGGGUUGGGCUUGGAGCUAGGAUUUUUCUGAGUGCAAUGAACCAACUCCCGAGUCUCUAGGACGUUCCUAAAAAAAUUUGAUUUUUUUCCAUAGGAAUGCAUGGGUUAGGGUUAGGGUUAGGGUUGGAGCUAGGGUUAAGGUUAGGGUUAGGGUUGGAGUUUGGGUUAGUGUUGGAGCUAGGGUUAGGGUUGGGCUUGGAGCUAGGAUUUUUCUGAGUGCAAUGAACCAACUCCCGAGUCUCUAGGACGUUUCUAAAAAAAUUUGAUUUUUUUCCAUAGGAAUGCAUGGGUUAGGGUUAGGGUUAGGGUUGGAGCUAGGGUUAGGGUUAGGGUUAGGGUUGGAGUUAGGGUUAGUGUUGGAGCUAGGGUUAGGGUUGGGCUUGGAGCUAGGAUUUUUCUGAGUGCAAUGAACCAACUCCCGAGUCUCUAGGACGUUUCUAAAAAAAUUUGAUUUUUUUCCAUAGGAAUGCAUGGGUUAGGGUUAGGGUUAGGGUUGGAGCUAGGGUUAGGGUUAGGGUUAGGGUUGGAGUUAGGGUUAGUGUUGGAGCUAGGGUUAGGGUUGGGCUUGGAGCUAGGAUUUUUCUGAGUGCAAUGAACCAACUCCCGAGUCUCUAGGACGUUCCUAAAAAAAUUUGAUUUUUUCCCAUAGGAAUGCAUGGGUUAGGGUUAGGGUUAGGGUUGGAGCUAGGGUUAGGGUUAGGGUUAGGGUUGGAGUUAGGGUUAGUGUUGGAGCUAGGGUUAGGGUUGGGCUUGGAGCUAGGAUUUUUCUGAGUGCAAUGAACCAACUCCCGAGUCUCUAGGACGUUUCUAAAAAAAAUUGAUUUUUUUCCAUAGGAAUGCAUGGGUUAGGGUUAGGGUUAGGGUUGGAGCUAGGGUUAGGGUUAGGGUUAGGGUUGGAGUUAGGGUUAGUGUUGGAGCUAGGGUUAGGGUUGGGCUUGGAGCUAGGAUUUUUCUGAGUGCAAUGAACCAACUCCCGAGUCUCUAGGACGUUUCUAAAAAAAUUUGAUUUUUUUCCAUAGGAAUGCAUGGGUUAGGGUUAGGGUUAGGGUUGGAGCUAGGGUUAGGGUUAGGGUUAGGGUUGGAGUUAGGGUUAGUGUUGGAGCUAGGGUUAGGGUUGGGCUUGGAGCUAGGAUUUUUCUGAGUGCAAUGAACUAACUCCCGAGUCUCUAGGACGUUCCUAAAAAAAUUUGAUUUUUUUCCAUAGGAAUGCAUGGGUUAGGGUUAGGGUUAGGGUUGGAGCUAGGGUUAGGGUUAGGGUUAGGGUUGGAGUUAGGGUUAGUGUUGGAGCUAGGGUUAGGGUUGGGCUUGGAGCUAGGAUUUUUCUGAGUGCAAUGAACCAACUCCCGAGUCUCUAGGACGUUCCUAAAAAAAAUUGAUUUUUUUCCAUAGGAAUGCAUGGGUUAGGGUUAGGGUUAGGGUUGGAGCUAGGGUUAGGGUUAGGGUUAGGGUUGGAGUUAGGGUUAAUGUUGGAGCUAGGGUUAGGGUUGGGCUUGGAGCUAGGAUUUUUCUGAGUGCAAUGAACCAACUCCCGAAUCUCUAGGACGUUCCUAAAAAAAUUUGAUUUUUUCCCAUAGGAAUGCAUGGGUUAGGGUUAGGGUUAGGGUUAGGGUUGGAGCUAGGGUUAGGGUUAGGGUUAGGGUUGGAGUUAGGGUUAGUGUUGGAGCUAGGGUUAGGGUUGGGCUUGGAGCUAGGAUUUUUCUGAGUGCAAUGAACCAACUCCCGAGUCUCUAGGACGUUCCUAAAAAAAUUUUAUUUUUUCCCAUAGGAAUGCAUGGGUUAGGGUUAGGGUUAGGGUUGGAGCUAGGGUUAGGGUUAGGGUUAGGGUUGGAGUUAGGGUUAGUGUUGGAGCUAGGGUUAGGGUUGGGCUUGGAGCUAGGAUUUUUCUGAGUGCAAUGAACCAACUACCGAGUCUCUAGGACGUUCCUAAAAAAAUUUGAUUUUUUCCCAUAGGAAUGCAUGGGUUAGGGUUAGGGUUAGGGUUGGAAGGGUAGGGUUAGGGUUAGGGUUAGGGUUGGAGUUAGGGUUAGUGUUGGAGCUAGGGUUAGGGUUGGGCUUGGAGCUAGGAUUUUUCUGAGUGCACUGAACCAACUCCCGAGUCUCUAGGACGUUCCUAAAAAAAUUUGAUUUUUUCCCAUAGGAAUGCAUGGGUUAGGGUUAGGGGGUGGGGUUGGAGCUAGGGUUAGGGUUAGGGUUAGGGUUGGAGUUAGGGUUAGUGUUGGAGCUAGGGUUAGGGUUGGGCUUGGAGCUAGGAUUUUUCUGAGUGCAAUGAACUAACUCCCGAGUCUCUAGGACGUUCCUAAAAAAAUUUGAUUUUUUUCCAUAGGAAUGCAUGGGUUAGGGUUAGGGUUAGGGUUGGAGCUAGGGUUAGGGUUAGGGUUAGGGUUGGAGUUAGGGUUAGUGUUGGAGCUAGGGUUAGGGUUGGGCUUGGAGCUAGGAUUUUUCUGAGUGCAAUGAACCAACUCCCGAGUCUCUAGGACAUUCCUAAAAAAAUUUGAUUUUCUUCCAUAGGAAUGCAUGGGUUAGGGUUAGGGUUGGAGCUAGGGUUAGGGUUAGGGUUAGGGUUGGAGUUAGGGUAAGUGUUGGAGCUAGGGUUAGGGUUGGGCUUGGAGCUAGGAUUUUUCUGAGUGCAAUGAACCAACUCCCGAGUCUCUAGGACGUUCCUAAAAAAAUUUGAUUUUUUUCCAUAGGAAUGCAUGGGUUAGGGUUAGGGUUAGGGAUGGAGCUAGGGUUAGGGUUAGGGUUAGGGUUGGAGUUAGGGUUAGUGUUGGAGCUAGGGUUAGGGUUGGGCUUGGAGCUAGGAUUUUUCUGAGUGCAAUGAACCAACUCCCGAGUCUCUAGGACGUUCCUAAAAAAAUUUGAUUUUUUUCCAUAGGAAUGCAUGGGUUAGGGUUAGGGUUAGGGUUGGAGCUAGGGUUAGGGUUAGGGUUAGGGUUGGAGUUAGGGUUAGUGUUGGAGCUAGGGUUAGGGUUGGGCUUGGAGCUAGGAUUUUUCUGAGUGCAAUGAACCAACUCCCGAGUCUCUAGGACGUUCCUAAAAAAAUUUGAUUUUUUUCCAUAGGAAUGCAUGGGUUAGGGUUAGGGUUAGGGUUGGAGCUAGGGUUAGGGUUAGGGUUAGGGUUGGAGUUAGGGUUAGUGUUGGAGCUAGGGUUAGGGUUGGGCUUGGAGCUAGGAUUUUUCUGAGUGCAAUGAACCAACUCCCGAGUCUCUAGGACGUUCCUUAAAAAAAAUUGAUUUUUUUCCAUAGGAAUGCAUGGGUUAGGGUUAGGGUUAGGGUUGGAGCUAGGGUUAGGGUUAGGGUUGGAGUUAGGGUUAGUGUUGGAGCUAGGGUUCGGGUUGGGCUUGGAGCUAGGAUUUUUCUGAGUGCAAUGAACCAACUCCCGAGUCUCUAGGACGUUCCUAAAAAAAUUUGAUUUUUUCCCAUAGGAAUGCAUGGGUUAGGGUUAGGGUUAGGGUUGGAGCUAGGGUUAGGGUUAGGGUUAGGG